AGAGUUUGAUCCUGGCUCAGAUUGAACGCUGGCGGCAGGCUUAACACAUGCAAGUCGAGCGGUAACAGAGAGUAGCUUGCUACUUUGCUGACGAGCGGCGGACGGGUGAGUAAUGCUUGGGAAUAUGCCUUUGAGUGGGGGACAACAGUUGGAAACGACUGCUAAUACCGCAUAACGUCUACGGACCAAAGGGGGGGAUCUUCGGACCUCUCGCUCAUUGAUUAGCCCAAGUGAGAUUAGCUAGUUGGUAAGGUAAUGGCUUACCAAGGCGACGAUCUCUAGCUGGUUUGAGAGGAUGAUCAGCCACACUGGGACUGAGACACGGCCCAGACUCCUACGGGAGGCAGCAGUGGGGAAUAUUGCACAAUGGGCGAAAGCCUGAUGCAGCCAUGCCGCGUGUGUGAAGAAGGCCUUCGGGUUGUAAAGCACUUUCAGUUGUGAGGAAAGGGAUGUAGUUAAUAGCUGCAUUCUGUGACGUUAACAACAGAAGAAGCACCGGCUAACU
Molecule: ribosomal RNA, 505 nt
Filed under: uncultured bacterium
Lineage: Bacteria
Description: bacterial SSU rRNA
Rfam family: Bacterial small subunit ribosomal RNA
Source: RNAcentral